This is a long non-coding RNA of Numida meleagris (helmeted guineafowl), 822 nucleotides long. RefSeq lists it as uncharacterized. The transcript is spliced from 3 exons. The record is from RefSeq and is a predicted model, not a curated record. NCBI's taxonomy places the organism in Eukaryota, Metazoa, Chordata, Aves, Galliformes, Numididae.
CUGCUUCUGUUGUGCUGCUCUCCCAGCUUCUCAGUUAAUUAAGCUUGCCUUGCCUUGUCAUCUCCCUUUCUUCUAUUUUCUUCCCUCCUUGGCUCAGUCCUAAGAGCCAUAGUCCUGCAAGGGCCCAAUGAAGCCUUCAAAGAGGGGAUAUGACCUCUCGUAAACCAGAAACCUGGCAGCUGUUUUCUCACCAGCUCCCUACAAUCUCCAACCCCAUGGGAUAAGCACUGGGCUAACUAGUUCUGCUUGAAUGUCCAGCUGCAAACCAGCUUGCUUAAACCUUCCUAGAAGAGCUGCUACUUAAACUCGCACUAUUGUUAGGAUGAGUGUGUUUGCUUGGAUGGAAGUAAGAGAUAAGCAUGUGAAAGGUAAGAGCCAAUAGCAUCUGCGUACUAAAGGACAUUUUAAAGAAAUGCUUAUUUCACAUAAAUUUAUAUGUAAGUCUUCAAAAAAAAGACACUCUUCUAAUAUAAAGAUGAAUACAGUAGUCUUAAGUGCAUUACUGAAAUUAGGGUUAUUAGCUUGAAUAUAUUUCAGAUACCUCUGCUCACUGAAACCAGUUUGUAGCACUCUUCACACAAAUGGCUGGGGACUGGUUUUCCACUCAUCUCUUGAAGAUAUCAGUAUCUAGAAGAUUUCUGUGAUCUGUUCAGACUUUCAUGAUCAAACAGUGACUUAUCUGUGACCAACUAUCUAUAUCACUGGGUAGGAACUAAGAAUUGGCUGGUGGUUUGCAACAGAACAAACACAAAGGGUCUAGGGAAAUACUGUGUUUAAAUCAGCAAAAAUGUGGAAGAUGACGAUGCAUCUUUGAUUUCAGGU